UGUCGGUGGGAGAAACUGACUUCGACUUUACCCAUCAGUCAGUCUUUUUCUCUCUCCUAUA
RNAcentral lists this microRNA precursor (61 nucleotides) under Manduca sexta (tobacco hornworm). RNAcentral's name for it is "mir-14 microRNA precursor family". It matches the Rfam family "mir-14 microRNA precursor family". Lineage: Eukaryota; Metazoa; Arthropoda; Insecta; Lepidoptera; Sphingidae. The record is from Rfam by way of RNAcentral.